This 463-nucleotide ribosomal RNA is filed under the name uncultured bacterium. Its description in RNAcentral is "partial 16S ribosomal RNA". It matches the Rfam family "Bacterial small subunit ribosomal RNA", at positions 29 to 507 of the family's 1533-position model. The record is from RNAcentral.
ACGCACGCUGGCGGCGUGCUUCACACCUGCAAGUCGCACGGUAAGGCCCCAGCUUGCUGGGGUACACGAGUGGCGAACGGGUGAGUAACACGUGGGUGACCUGCCCCGCACUUCGGGAUAAGCCUGGGAAACUGGGUCUAAUACCGGAUAGGACCGCACCGUGAGGGUGUGGUGGAAAGUUUUUCGGUGUGGGAUGGGCCCGCGGCCUAUCAGCUUGUUGGUGGGGUAAUGGCCUACCAAGGCGGCGACGGGUAGCCGGCCUGAGAGGGUGGACGGCCACAUUGGGACUGAGACACGGCCCAGACUCCUACGGGAGGCAGCAGUGGGGAAUAUUGCACAAUGGGCGGAAGCCUGAUGCAGCGACGCCGCGUGGGGGAUGACGGCCUUCGGGUUGUAAACUCCUUUCACCAUCGACGAAGGUUUUCUGACGGUAGAUGGAGAAGAAGCACCGGCUAACUACGUG